GAGGAAGUAGCUCAAUUAGGUUAGAGCAUCGGUCUGUGGCACCGAGGGCUGUGGGUUCAAGUCCCAUUUUCCUCCCA
This 77-nucleotide transfer RNA is filed under the name Spirochaetes bacterium GWF1_49_6. RNAcentral's name for it is "tRNA-His". It matches the Rfam family "tRNA". From Rfam's summary of the family: Transfer RNA (tRNA) molecules are approximately 80 nucleotides in length. Lineage: Bacteria; Pseudomonadati; Spirochaetota. The record is from RNAcentral.